GGGGUUGGAACUUCCCAUCCCAUCCCCAGACCUCCUGGGGGAGGAGAGGGGCUGGAGGUUGAAUCAAUCCCCAAUGGCUAAUGAUUUACUCAAGCUUACCAGUACCCUAAAGCCUCCUUAAACAGCCAAGAGGACUGGGUUCAGGGGGCGUACUCUGAGGAGGCAUAGGAGUUCCCUGCCCCUUCCCCAUACCUUGUCCUAUGCGUAUCUCCAUCUAACCAAUUCAUAUUCUUUCAUAUUCUUUGUAAUAAACUAGUAAUCCACUGAGUAAAUUGGUUUCCUGAGCUCUGUGAGCUGCUCCAGCAAAUCAGACUCCAAGGCGGGGAGGGAUCCUCUGGUUUACAGCCCAUCAGUCGGAAGUACAGGGCUUCGUAUCUGCUCCGGAGUCUUCUGCUUUGCAAAAAUAGGAGAACGAUCAUCAUCACCUCAUCCCUAGUCAAGUGCUGGCUCCAUGAGAUAAUCCGAUCCUUGGGAUUCACCUCGAGUCCCCAUUGCUGCCGAGUUGGCUUGAGAAUGUUAUAAUCGCUCUCUUCUCAGAAGGGAGAUUUCCAAACCUGUCACAAACAUGUGAAAGCAUCUUCAUCCAGGGCUUUGGUGGAUAUUUUGGAGUCACUACCUCCCUUCAAUGGAUCCUGAACCCAAGCCACCUGCCUGUUUUUCGGAAUUUCUGGUCAACGAAGUCCUGUACUGACCGUACAGACAUCUAUUUCCUUAUAGUGUGUUUGGUGCUUCUAAUCUUCGUCCCUACCACGUGUGCUGGUAAGGAUGACAUGAAGCAGGGGCCUCUUUCUCUGUCCAGCCCUCUGGACCACAAUCCCCACACCACACAGGCAUGCUCUCUCCCUUUCCAAACCUCAUCCCAAAUUUUCCACUUUGCUUCACGGAAUAAUGGGGGCUGAGCCCUUCCCGUUGGACUCUGUGUAUCUCCUGCUUCUAGACUCUUCCUGAAAUUAUGCUGAAAGCCUCUCUUGCUUCACUCUUUGUAAUUUUUCUUUUGCUUAGCUUGACAGCAUUUAGAGGCAGUUAUUUCAAAUAGCUUCCAAGUAACCCUUUGUCUUUUUUGACUGGGGACCAGCAUGA
Molecule: long non-coding RNA, 1080 nt
Organism: Canis lupus familiaris (dog)
Lineage: Eukaryota; Metazoa; Chordata; Mammalia; Carnivora; Canidae
Exons: 3
Source: RefSeq, a predicted model, not a curated record